This 460-nucleotide ribosomal RNA is filed under the name uncultured bacterium. RNAcentral describes it as "partial 16S ribosomal RNA". It matches the Rfam family "Bacterial small subunit ribosomal RNA", at positions 338 to 795 of the family's 1533-position model. The record is from RNAcentral.
CCUACGGGAGGCUGCAGUGAGGAAUAUUGGUCAAUGGACGCAAGUCUGAACCAGCCAUGCCGCGUGCAGGAUGACGGCUCUAUGAGUUGUAAACUGCUUUUGUACGAGGGUAAACCCCGAUACGUGUAUCGGGUUGAAAGUACCGUACGAAUAAGGAUCGGCUAACUCCGUGCCAGCAGCCGCGGUAAUACGGAGGAUCCGAGCGUUAUCCGGAUUUAUUGGGGUUAAAGGGUGCGCAGGCGGUAUGAUAAGUUAGCGGUGAAAUGUCGGGGCUCAACCCCGAAACUGCCUCUAAUACUGUUGGUCUAGAGAAUGCUUGCGGUAUGCGGAAUGUGUGGUGUAGCGGUGAAAUGCUUAGAGAUCAUACAGAACACCGAUUGCGAAGGCAGCUUACCGACGUAUAUCUGACGUUGAGGCACGAAAGUGUGGGUAGCGAACAGGAUUAGAUACCCGAGUAGUC